This 68-nucleotide transfer RNA is filed under the name Litoditis aff. marina PmIII. RNAcentral describes it as "tRNA-Ser". The record is from RNAcentral. Lineage: Eukaryota; Metazoa; Nematoda; Chromadorea; Rhabditida; Rhabditidae.
AAUCUAGUAAAUAAACUAUAUAUAAAAGUGUUUUGAAAACACUUUUUGAGUAUUCUACUCAUAGUUUU